AUACGGAGGGUGCAAGCGUUAAUCGGAAUUACUGGGCGUAAAGCGUACGUAGGCGGUUCGUUAAGUUAGAUGUGAAAGCCCCGGGCUUAACCUGGGAACUGCAUUUAAAACUGGCGAACUAGAGUUGAGUAGAGGGGAGUGGAAUUUCAGGUGUAGCGGUGAAAUGCGUAGAGAUCUGAAGGAACACCAGUGGCGAAGGCGACUCCCUGGACUCGAACUGACGCUGAGGUACGAAAGCGUGGGUAGCAAACAGGAUUAGAAACCCUGGUAGUCC
This 274-nucleotide ribosomal RNA is filed under the name uncultured bacterium. Its description in RNAcentral is "partial 16S ribosomal RNA". It matches the Rfam family "Bacterial small subunit ribosomal RNA", at positions 523 to 796 of the family's 1533-position model. The record is from RNAcentral.